GAGGAUGUGUUUUAUAUGGACGAAGAGGCUGUUUUUGGAAUGCCGGGACUGCUGGCAUAUAUGGCAGAAGGAAUGCUAUUGCCUCCACCUCAAUGCGUUGAAGAGAGUGGAGAGGACAAAGAAACGGAUGCAGCAGAUGUGUCAUUAUGGAGUUUUUCUAUAUAAUUUAUUAAGAAAAUAAAUUUUAUGUUUUUACUAGGCAAAUAGAACUAAAAUGUUCGAUGCCCUGCACCCUCAGGCUUGACUUGGUGUUCGGUGCAUCUCCAGCCUAGGAUAAGAUUCUAGGCUGAAGUAUUUAUACUACUUGUAGAUCCUAAAAAGUACUCCCUCCGUACUUAAAUAUUUUUUUACUAGUACGGUAAGAAGAUUGAAAGGUUGAAUUGGGGGCGUGUGUGCCAGACUGAAAUUGAUGUUAUAUGGGAAGUUUAGUGCUUAGUAUUUAGUGAUGUGCGCGUCAUAUUGCCAUAAAUACAUCCCCAGUGGCAGUUGUUGUACUUUGCGGGCAAUUAUGAUCCAUGUAUUGAUGUGGAUUAUCCAAAGUUACACACUGAAAAAAUCC
Molecule: unclassified non-coding RNA, 559 nt
Filed under: Hevea brasiliensis (rubber tree)
Lineage: Eukaryota; Viridiplantae; Streptophyta; Magnoliopsida; Malpighiales; Euphorbiaceae
Source: RNAcentral